Trichonephila inaurata madagascariensis is the source of this 73-nucleotide non-coding RNA. Lineage: Eukaryota; Metazoa; Arthropoda; Arachnida; Araneae; Nephilidae. The record is from the annotation of a GenBank genome assembly.
GUGUCUGUAGCACAAUUGAUAGCGCGUUGGACUUCUAAUCCAAAGGGCGUGGGUUAGAAUCCUACCUGAGACG